AAUCCUGGCUCAGGAUGAACGCUAGCGGCAGGCUUAACACAUGCAAGUCGAGGGGCAGCGCGGGAUAGCAAUAUCCUGGCGGCGACCGGCGGAAGGGUGCGUAACGCGUGAGCGACAUGCCCGUUGCCCGGGGACAACCGGUGGAAACGCCGACUAAUCCCCGAUGGGAUAUUGUGCCGCAUGGCACGAUAUUGAAAGUUACGGCGGCAACGGAUUGGCUCGCGUCCGAUUAGCUGGUUGCGGGGUAACGG
Molecule: ribosomal RNA, 251 nt
Filed under: uncultured bacterium
Lineage: Bacteria
Description: partial 16S ribosomal RNA
Rfam family: Bacterial small subunit ribosomal RNA
Source: RNAcentral